AAUAAUUUUGAUUCUAGUUUUUAGAUUAAUUUAAUGUAAUAUUUAUCAUGUUUUGUUAAAAUAAAAUGUUUUAUAGCAGUAAUUUAUUUUAUUUUUUACUAAUUUAUAAAUUGAUUAAGUUAUAUAUUUUAGGAUUGGAUAAAUUUGUGCCAGCAUCUGCGGUUAUACAUAUAAAUUCAAGUUAAUUAAUUUAGUUAUAUAUAAUUAUAUUUUUAUAUUUUAUUUUAAUUUUUAGGUGAAAUUAAUAUAUUUAUUUUUUAAAGAAAAUUUAUAUGAAGUUUAUUUUAUAAACUAGGAUUAGAUACCCUAUUAUAGUUAAAUUUAAAAAUUUUAACUAGGAGAUUAAUAGAUAUAAACUUGUAAAUUUAAAGAAUUUGGCGGUAAAUUAAUUUGUCUAGAGGAAUUUGUUUAAUAAUUGAUAAUCCUCAUUUUAUCUUACCUUUAAAUUUAUAUUUGAGUAUGUAUAUCGCCGUUAAGAUGAAUAUUUUUAUAGAAAUAAUUUUCUUAAUAAUUAUAUUAUUAAAAUCAGGUCAAGGUGCAGCUUAUAUUAAGGAUAAAAAUGAAUUACAUUUAUUUUUAAUAAUUAUGGAUUAUUGAGUGAAAUUAUAAUAUGAAGGUGGAUUUAGAAGUAAAAAAUUAAUAGUAGAGAGAUUUUUUGAAUUUAAUUUUGAUUUAUGUACAUAUUGCCCGUCGCUCUCGUUGAAGUUUAAAAAUGAGAUAAGUCGUAACAUAGUAGGUCUACCGGAAGGUAGACCUAGAUUGAU
This 764-nucleotide non-coding RNA is filed under the name Pallenopsis pilosa. The record is from RNAcentral. Lineage: Eukaryota; Metazoa; Arthropoda; Pycnogonida; Pantopoda; Pallenopsidae.